GACGAACGCUGGCGGCGUGCUUAACACAUGCAAGUCGAACGGAAAGGCCCUGCUUUUGUGGGGUGCUCGUGUGGCGAACGGGUGAGUAACACGUGAGUAACCUGCCCUUGACUUUGGGAUAACUUCAGGAAACUGGGGCUAAUACCGGAUAGGAGCUCCUGCUGCAUGGUGGGGGUUGGAAAGUUUCGGCGGUUGGGGAUGGACUCGCGGCUUAUCAGCUUGUUGGUGGGGUAGUGGCUUACCAAGGCUUUGACGGGUAGCCGGCCUGAGAGGGUGACCGGCCACAUUGGGACUGAGAUACGGCCCAGACUCCUACGGGAGGCAGCAGUGGGGAAUAUUGCACAAUGGGCGGAAGCCUGAUGCAGCAACGCCGCGUGCGGGAGGACGGCCUUCGGGUUGUAAACCGCUUUCGCCUGUGACGAAGCGUGAGUGACGGUAAUGGGGAAAGAAGCACCGGCUAACUACGU
RNAcentral lists this ribosomal RNA (467 nucleotides) under uncultured bacterium. RNAcentral describes it as "partial 16S ribosomal RNA". It matches the Rfam family "Bacterial small subunit ribosomal RNA", at positions 28 to 506 of the family's 1533-position model. The record is from RNAcentral.